GAAUAUGAAGCGAUUAAUUGCAGUUAGUUUCGACCUGACCUUAGGUAAUUUUACCCUU
RNAcentral lists this transfer RNA (58 nucleotides) under Drosophila barbarae. RNAcentral's name for it is "tRNA-Arg". The record is from RNAcentral. Lineage: Eukaryota; Metazoa; Arthropoda; Insecta; Diptera; Drosophilidae.